This 577-nucleotide ribosomal RNA is filed under the name Gaeumannomyces graminis. RNAcentral describes it as "SSU rRNA". It matches the Rfam family "Eukaryotic small subunit ribosomal RNA", at positions 45 to 626 of the family's 1831-position model. Lineage: Eukaryota; Fungi; Ascomycota; Sordariomycetes; Magnaporthales; Magnaporthaceae. The record is from RNAcentral.
AUAGCCAUGCAUGUCUAAGUAUAAGCAAUUAUACAGCGAAACUGCGAAUGGCUCAUUAAAUCAGUUAUCGUUUAUUUGAUAGUACCUUACUACAUGGAUAACCGUGGUAAUUCUAGAGCUAAUACAUGCUGAAAACCCCGACUUCGGAAGGGGUGUAUUUAUUAGAUUAAAAACCAAUGCCCUUCGGGGCUCACUGGUGAUUCAUGAUAACUUCUCGAAUCGCACGGCCUUGCGCCGGCGAUGGUUCAUUCAAAUUUCUGCCCUAUCAACUUUCGACGGCUGGGUCUUGGCCAGCCGUGGUGACAACGGGUAACGGAGGGUUAGGGCUCGACCCCGGAGAAAACGCCUGAGAAACGGCGUUUACAUCCAAGGAAGGCAGCAGGCGCGCAAAUUACCCAAUGCCGACACGGCGAGGUAGUGACGAGAAAUACUGAUACAGGGCUCUUUUGGGUCUUGUAAUUGGAAUGAGUACAAUUUAAAUCUCUUAACGAGGAACAAUUGGAGGGCAAGUCUGGUGCCAGCAGCCGCGGUAAUUCCAGCUCCAAUAGCGUAUAUUAAAGUUGUUGCAGUUAAAAAG